Arachis ipaensis is the source of this 2059-nucleotide non-coding RNA. The record is from RefSeq and is a predicted model, not a curated record. Lineage: Eukaryota; Viridiplantae; Streptophyta; Magnoliopsida; Fabales; Fabaceae.
AAUAGAAUAUGUGUUGAUUUCAGAUGUGCUACUCCAGCUUCAUCAAGAUUUGCCAAUAAUAACAAUAAUGAUGAUGCACUAGUUCCAGCAACUAAGAAUAUCAAUAGGCCUAGUAUGGUGGUGAAUGUGAAGGUCUUGAAGAAGCUCUUCUCUGUUAACAACUUUCAAAAGAAACCAAGAAGGAGAGUAAGAUAAUUAUCCUUUUCCUGUGGUGAUUUAUGUCAAUCAGUUGGAGGAUGGCUGGCUAUACUUUCUGUUUCUGGUUUUACAGCUAUAGCUGUAAGAAAGGCUGUGAAGACCGAAAUGAUCGAUCCUGAGCCUAUGGAAAAGCCCCCUCCAUUGCUGUCCAAGCAGGGGUAUGAUGCUGCUCUAGGUAUUGUUGAAAUUUUGACAAUACAGAUAUGUUUGGUUGAAGGUUUAGGGUCCAUGGAUGAGCUCCCUUUUUAACUUCACCUAAAGUCAUCCGCAAAAACUUCCAGGCCUUUUUUGCACCUCAACCAAACAUACCUUAAAUGGCUUUCUUUUUGUUUAGCUGAGUUGAAACUACAUAAUGAACUAGUUUUGUUGUGAAUUUGUUAUUCUUUUUUUAAUAUAGCAGGAUUUUACCUUACAGUUAACCCAAAGAGUACCUCGAUUGCUUGGGAAAUAAUUAGAGUAUGCAUAUAUAUGAUGUGUAGCUUUAGAAAAUGAUAUGCUGCUCAUUUACUCUUUCUCAUGUUCUGUUCUCCCUCCAUUUACUCAUUGAACGAGAAAUUGUAGGUUGUUAAAAAUGUUGCUUCUCAAUCAUUGAAAGUGAAGAAGCUCAUGUACUUGUACCUCCUUUAUUAUUCUGAAAAGUAUGUACAUGUAAUCAGCCUAUAACUCUGAUGUUUAUAGCAUAUUCAGAUGGUCGACCUUUUUGUCAUUCUAUUUCAUUGGAAUUUAGUAUUCGAAUACAGGUCAAGAGUGGGAACAAAGUUUCGGAUUAUUCUAAUGCAUCAUUGAAAAAUUAUGCAGUAUGGGCUAACUCAGCGGUGUGUUGUGUUUUAUUUUCGGAGCUUAAGGCUUUGCUUCAUACUGUUCCGGAAGUUGCGCGAUUGAUUGGGGCUAAAAAUACAGACCUGGUCUUAUGAACCAGUGAUCAGGAUGAUGAAGGGAAGGUAAAAGCUGUUUUGCAGGCAGCAUUCACACACCUAAUGUCAGCUAAUAAAGAGAGAGUCACUGAAGCAGUAAAUAGUUUGAAAUUUCGUCUCCAUGAUGAAAGCAAGGAUAUAUCUGAACAAUUUAAUCACACAAACAGUCUGAAGCUGAUUGCUAGAGCUCAUCUGUAGUGUAUACUUCAAGGGCUAUUCGGCAUCCUGCCAGUGGAUAUGUACAGGGGAUAAAUGAUCUUGUUACACCAUUUCUAGUCAUUUUCCUAUCAGAACACUUGCAAGGGGUAUCGAUAAUUGGUCAAUGUCUGAUCUAUCUGCAGAGAAAAUUUCUAAUAGAGGCUGAUUGCUAUUGGUGCUUGUCAAAAUUACUGGAUGGUAUGCAAGAGCAAGACUAUUACAUGUUUGCUCAACCAGGAAUUCAGAGGCUUGUUUUUAAGGUGAAGGAAUUGGUCAGGAGGAUUGAUGAUACCGAAAAAAGGGAAUAUUUAUUCAGUGAAUAAAGGAAAUGCCAAAAAUUGGGAGAAACCAAUCACUGAGAAUGUGGAUAAUUGCAUGUUUCCUCAAGAUGGUUCUUCACCAAAGUCCCUUAGAUACGUUGGAAGUAUGGUUGUAGAUAUCCAUAGAACAUUGCUUUAUGGUGGUAUCUUCAUGUACCUUGUUGAUAAGAAAAAUCCAGAUGGAAAGCUAAGGUUACAACUGCAGAUGAGUACAUGUUUAGCGUCCAAAGAAUCCCAGAAGGUAGAAGUGGCAAUUGGAAUAAUCAGAAGAAGUAGCCAGUGAUAAUCAUAAUACCAUGGACUAUUUAUUGAAUUAAAUCAGAACUUGUGCAUAACUACUGCUUAUAGGCCUGUUAGAUAGUUGAUACUUUGUAUAUGAAUUAUUAUUUUUUAUUUCCAAUACGAAAAAGUUAUAUAUUAUGUUUAAUA